CUUCCUCUCAUAGCUAACUACACCAUCACUCAGACAGCCAACUCAGAGCUCAAGGGAUACCCACCAUUCCCUCCUCCUCCAUCUUACCAAAACUCACUCCUCAUUUUGUGAGUGUCUUGACAAUCCUUCCCUUACCCACAUUUAGAACCCAUGCCCUCCUCUGGAAUCCAUGCCCUCCUCUCUGUCCUGACCAACCUCCUGUAUUUCUUACCUCUGCAAUUUCAGCCAUUUUUGUUGUUGUUGUUGAGUUUCCUUGCUGCUAAUCCCAACCCUUAAGCAUCACUUCUAUGGAGCCUUCUAUGAAUUUUUUCCCACUUUUCUCUCGUCCCUAUCUGGC
This 337-nucleotide long non-coding RNA is filed under the name Homo sapiens (human). Its description in RNAcentral is "non-protein coding lnc-CCT5-16:1". The record is from RNAcentral. Lineage: Eukaryota; Metazoa; Chordata; Mammalia; Primates; Hominidae.